CAGUCGCCGCGGUAAUACGAAGGGUGCAAGCGUUACUCGGAAUUACUGGGCGUAAAGCGUGCGUAGGUGGUGGUUUAAGUCCGUUGUGAAAGCCCUGGGCUCAACCUGGGAAUUGCAGUGGAUACUGGGUCACUAGAGUGUGGUAGAGGAUAGUGGAAUUUCCGGUGUAGCAGUGAAAUGCGUAGAGAUCGGAAGGAACAUCUGUGGCGAAGGCGACUAUCUGGGCCAACACUGACACUGAGGCACGAAAGCGUGGGGAGCAAACAGGAUUAGAUACCCCCUAGUCCCUGUCUCUUAUACC
RNAcentral lists this ribosomal RNA (301 nucleotides) under uncultured bacterium. Its description in RNAcentral is "partial 16S ribosomal RNA". It matches the Rfam family "Bacterial small subunit ribosomal RNA", at positions 509 to 808 of the family's 1533-position model. The record is from RNAcentral.